GAUGAACGCUGGCGGCGUGCUUAACACAUGCAAGUCGAACGGUGAAGGCGGAGCUUGCUCUGCUGGAUCAGUGGCGAACGGGUGAGUAACACGUGAGCAAUCUGCCCCUGACUCUGGGAUAAGCGCUGGAAACGGCGUCUAAUACUGGAUACGAGCUGCGAAGGCAUCUUCAGCAGCUGGAAAGAACUUCGGUCAGGGAUGAGCUCGCGGCCUAUCAGCUUGUUGGUGAGGUAACGGCUCACCAAGGCGUCGACGGGUAGCCGGCCUGAGAGGGUGACCGGCCACACUGGGACUGAGGCACGGCCCAGACUCCUACGGGAGGCAGCAGUGGGGAAUAUUGCACAAUGGGCGAAAGCCUGAUGCAGCAACGCCGCGUGAGGGACGACGGCCUUCGGGUUGUAAACCUCUUUUAGCAGGGAAGAAGCGAAAGUGACGGUACCUGCAGAAAAAGCGCCGGCUAACUACGUG
This 468-nucleotide ribosomal RNA is filed under the name uncultured bacterium. Its description in RNAcentral is "partial 16S ribosomal RNA". It matches the Rfam family "Bacterial small subunit ribosomal RNA", at positions 28 to 507 of the family's 1533-position model. The record is from RNAcentral.